CAGCUGGUAAACUGGGGAUCUGCUGGUCCUCACACAACCCUGAGCGAGUGGGUGCACUGGGCCUGUACUCACUCUGAACCCGGUCUGCGCAUUCGUGAAACUCCUGAGGCCUGUGAGGACCUGGAGUUCCUGAUCACCGCCCGACUUUAAGCCCAGAAAGAUGUCCAUUUUAACUGCUGACACUCCUGUUGAUUGGUCAACAUGACAGAAUGAGUCACUCACUGAUGCCUCGGGCUACUUGCUACACUCAAGA
Molecule: long non-coding RNA, 253 nt
Organism: Carcharodon carcharias (great white shark)
Lineage: Eukaryota; Metazoa; Chordata; Chondrichthyes; Lamniformes; Lamnidae
Exons: 3
Source: RefSeq, a predicted model, not a curated record